GAUGAACGCUAGCGGCAGGCCUAACACAUGCAAGUCGAGGGGCAUCGCGGUGCAGCAAUGCACUGGCGGCGACCGGCGUACGGGUGCGUAACGCGUAUGCAACCUGCCCCGCACCGGGGGAUAGCCCGCCGAAAGGCGGAUUAAUACCCCAUGGCCCCGGGGGCCCGCAUGGGCAUCCGGGUAAAGCUUUGGCGGUGCGGGAUGGGCAUGCGUGCCAUUAGCUGGCUGGUGGGGUAACGGCCCACCAGGGCAACGAUGGCUAGGGGGUCUGAGAGGAUGGUCCCCCACACUGGUACUGAGACACGGACCAGACUCCUACGGGAGGCAGCAGUGAGGAAUAUUGGUCAAUGGGCGGAAGCCUGAACCAGCCAUGCCGCGUGCGGGAUGAAGGCCCUACGGGUUGUAAACCGCUUUUCCCCGGGAAGAAUAAAGCCCCCGCGGGGGUGAGUGCCGGUACCGGGGAAUAAGGAUCGGCUAACUCCGUG
Molecule: ribosomal RNA, 485 nt
Filed under: uncultured bacterium
Lineage: Bacteria
Description: bacterial SSU rRNA
Rfam family: Bacterial small subunit ribosomal RNA
Source: RNAcentral